GACGAACGCUGGCGGCGUGCUUAACACAUGCAAGUCGAACGGAGUGGCGAACGGGUGAGUAUUACGUGAGUAACCUGCCCUCAACUGUGGGAUAAGCCUGGGAAACUGGGUAUUAUACUGCAUAGUUGGGGAUGGGCUCGCGGCCUAUCAGCUUUUGGGUGGGGUGAGGGCCUAGCAAGGCGGUGACGGGUAGCCGGCCUGGGAGGGUGGUAGUCCACAUUGGGACUGUGUUCCGGCCCAGACUCCUCCGGGAGGCAGCAUGGGGGGAGAAUGCACAAUUGGCGCAAGCCUGAUGCAGCGACGCCGCGUGAGGGAUGAAGGCUUUCGGGUUGUAAACCUCUUUCGGUACAGAACGGGUAUGUGCAGAAGAAGCGCCGGCUAACUACGUGCCAGCAGCCGCGGUAAUAC
RNAcentral lists this ribosomal RNA (408 nucleotides) under uncultured bacterium. Its description in RNAcentral is "partial 16S ribosomal RNA". It matches the Rfam family "Bacterial small subunit ribosomal RNA", at positions 28 to 526 of the family's 1533-position model. The record is from RNAcentral.